GACUAACGCUGGCGGCGUGCCUAACACAUGCAAGUCGAACGAGGUAGCAAUACCUAGUGGCAGACGGGUGAGUAACGCGUAGGUAAUGUGCCCUCCUGCGGGGGAUACCGUUCCGAAAGGGACGUUAAUACCGCAUAACAUGCUUCAGGGGCAUCUUUGGAGCAUCGAACUUCCGGGGUAGGGGGAGCAGCCUGCGUUCUAUCAGCUUGUUGGUGAGGUAAUGGCUCACCAAGGCUACGACGGAUAACUGGUCUGAGAGGAUGACCAGUCACACUGGGACUGAGACACGGCCCAGACUCCUACGGGAGGCAGCAGUGAGGAAUAUUGCGCAAUGGGCGAAAGCCUGACGCAGCGACGCCGCGUGGAGGAUGAAGGCCCUCGGGUUGUAAACUCCUGUCAGUGGGGAAGAGAACGGACGGUACCCACUGAGGAAGCUUCGGCUAACUACGUGCCAGCCGCCGCCGUAA
This 467-nucleotide ribosomal RNA is filed under the name uncultured bacterium. RNAcentral describes it as "partial 16S ribosomal RNA". It matches the Rfam family "Bacterial small subunit ribosomal RNA", at positions 28 to 523 of the family's 1533-position model. The record is from RNAcentral.